CCAGACUCCUACGGGAGGCAGCAGUGGGGAAUAUUGCACAAUGGGGGAAACCCUGAUGCAGCGACGCCGCGUGAGUGAAGAAGUAUUUCGGUAUGUAAAGCUCUAUCAGCAGGGAAGAAAUAGCGACCUUUGGGUCGCCAGACGGUACCUGAUUAAGAAGCCCCGGCUAACUACGUGCCAGCAGCCGCGGUAAUACGUAGGGGGCAAGCGUUAUCCGGAAUGACUGGGCGUAAAGGGUGCGUAGGUGGUUUGACAAGUUGGUAGCGUAACUCCGAGGCUUAACCUCGGCACUACUACCAAAACUGUUGGACUCGAGUGCAGGAGGUGCAAAUGGAAUUCCUAGUGUAGCGGUGGAAUGCGUAGAUAUUAGGAGGAACACCAGUGGCGAAGGCGAUUUGCUGGACUGUAACUGACACUGAGGCACGAAAGCGUGGGGAGCAAACAGGAUUAGAUACCCCGGUAACC
This 465-nucleotide ribosomal RNA is filed under the name uncultured bacterium. RNAcentral's name for it is "bacterial SSU rRNA". It matches the Rfam family "Bacterial small subunit ribosomal RNA", at positions 331 to 795 of the family's 1533-position model. The record is from RNAcentral.